UAUGUUACUGAAGAUGAUUUAAUUUCUUAUAUUCUUGCAGGUUUAGGAAUUGAAAGUGACCCUGUGGUUGUAAACAUUACAGCCAAAACUGAUGAUU
Molecule: non-coding RNA, 97 nt
Filed under: Citrus sinensis (sweet orange)
Lineage: Eukaryota; Viridiplantae; Streptophyta; Magnoliopsida; Sapindales; Rutaceae
Description: Small nucleolar RNA Z247
Rfam family: Small nucleolar RNA Z247
About the family: Z247 is a member of the C/D class of snoRNA which contain the C (UGAUGA) and D (CUGA) box motifs. Most of the members of the box C/D family function in directing site-specific 2'-O-methylation of substrate RNAs.
Source: Rfam by way of RNAcentral